RNAcentral lists this ribosomal RNA (433 nucleotides) under uncultured bacterium. RNAcentral's name for it is "bacterial SSU rRNA". It matches the Rfam family "Bacterial small subunit ribosomal RNA", at positions 961 to 1393 of the family's 1533-position model. The record is from RNAcentral.
GCGAAGAACCUUACCUGGCCUUGACAUGUAACGAACUUUCCAGAGAUGGAUUGGUGCUCGAAAGAGAACGUUAACACAGGUGCUGCAUGGCUGUCGUCAGCUCGUGUCGUGAGAUGUUGGGUUAAGUCCCGCAACGAGCGCAACCCUUGCCAUUAAUUGCCAUCAUUUAGUUGGGCACUUUAAUGGGAUUGCCGGUGACAAACCGGAGGAAGGUGGGGAUGACGUCAAGUCCUCAUGGCCCUUAUGGCCAGGGCUUCACACGUAAUACAAUGGUCGGUACAGAGGGUUGCCAACCCGCGAGGGGGAGCCAAUCCCAGAAAGCCGAUCGUAGUCCGGAUUGUAGUCUGCAACUCGACUACAUGAAGUCGGAAUCGCUAGUAAUCGCGGAUCAGCAUGUCGCGGUGAAUACGUUCCCGGGUCUUGUACACACCGA